AGCAGCCGCGGUAAUUCCAGCUCCAAUAGCGUAUAUUAAAGUUGUUGCAGUUAAAGAGCUCGUAGUUGAAUUUCGGGGUCAGUAGGCUGGUCGUGCCACGGGUAUGUACUGGUCUUACUGAUUCCUCCUUCCUGAUGAGCCGUAAUGCCAUUAAUUUGGUGUUGCGGGGAAUCUGGACUGUUACUUUGAAAAAAUUGAGUGUUUAAAGCAGGCUAACGCUUGAAUACAUUAGCAUGGAAUAAUGAAAUAGGACGAUCGAUCCUAUUUUGUGGUUUCUAGGAUUGACGUAAUGAUUAAUAGGGAUAGUUGGGGCACUAGUAUUCAAUUGUCAGAGGUGAAAUUCUUGGAUUUAUUGAAGACUAACUACUGACGAAAGCAUUUGCCAAGGAUGUUUCAUUAACCAAGAACGAAGUUAGGGAUCGAAGACGAUCAGAUACCGUCGUUAGUACCUUAACCAUUAAACUAUUGACCGACGUAGGGAUCGGGAUGAUGUUUAAUUUUUAUGUACUCAGUUCGGCGU
RNAcentral lists this ribosomal RNA (520 nucleotides) under uncultured Glomus. RNAcentral describes it as "SSU rRNA". It matches the Rfam family "Eukaryotic small subunit ribosomal RNA", at positions 569 to 1086 of the family's 1831-position model. The record is from RNAcentral. Lineage: Eukaryota; Fungi; Glomeromycota; Glomeromycetes; Glomerales; Glomeraceae.